Long non-coding RNA from Colias croceus (clouded yellow), 144 nucleotides. RefSeq lists it as uncharacterized. NCBI's taxonomy places the organism in Eukaryota, Metazoa, Arthropoda, Insecta, Lepidoptera, Pieridae. The transcript has 2 exons. The record is from RefSeq and is a predicted model, not a curated record.
AAAAUGUAUAAAAAUGUAAAUCAGUAAAUGAUUCUUUCAUUAAAAUUAAGAUUAAAAUUAGAUAAGUGCUUAUCACAUCUUUAUUUUCUGAAUAAUUGAUACACUCCUAUAUUAUAAUGACAAAAUUAUAAAAGGUACACAUAA